Molecule: long non-coding RNA, 1822 nt
Filed under: Haliotis rubra (blacklip abalone)
Lineage: Eukaryota; Metazoa; Mollusca; Gastropoda; Lepetellida; Haliotidae
Description: uncharacterized LOC124273697, transcript variant X1
Source: RNAcentral
CCUUUAAACAGUAUGGAAUGUUUUGCAAAAUCUAGUUUUGAACAGUUGACUGAAGUAAGUGGCUACAUGUACACUAGUGAGUCUAAACUUUUGAUGGGUAGUAUACAACACAUGGUGCUGCAUUGAGUACAGCUGUCUGUGAGCUCUUCUCUUGUAUCCAUGCCAUGCCUUUUAGAGUCGUUGAUUUUUAUGCAUAUUUUAUUUUUUGUCACGGGUGUAUAUUUUAUGGAAUCCAACUUAAAACACGGAAGUGUUCAUGUGUUUCCCUCCAUGUAACAAUAUCCGUCUGACACAGUUAUACAUUUUCCUGAUACAUUGCUUCAUAUUUGUUUGGUACUGUUAUAUGUUUGUAUGACCCAGAUAUAUCUGUGUCUGACAUGGAUAUAUAUGUGUCUGACCCUGAUAUAUGUGUUGGACCCGAUAUAUAUGUCUAAUCCUGAUAUAUAUGUGUCUGACAUGGAUAUAUAUGUGUCUGACCCUGAUGUGUGUGUCUGACCCUGACGUAUGUGUCUGACUCUGAUAUAUGUGUCAGAUCCUGAUAUAUAUGUGUCUAACCCUGAUAUAUGUGUCUGACAUGGAUAUAUGUAUCUGACCCUGAUAUAUGUGUCUGACACGGAUAUAUAUGUGUCUCACCCUGAUAUAUAUUUUCCUGACACAUAUAUGUGUCUGACCCUGAUAUAUUUGUCUGACCCAGAUAUAUAUGUGUCUGACCCUGAUAUAUAUAUGUCUGACCCUGAUAUAUAUGUGUAUGACCUGAUAUAUAUGUGUAUGACCUGAUAUGUGUCUGACCCUGUUAUAUAUGUCUGACCCUGAUAUGUAUGUAUCUGACUGAUAUAUAUGUGUCUGACAGAUAUAUAUGUGUCUGACCCUGAUAUAUAUUGUCUGACCCUGAUAUGUAUGUGUCUAACCCUGAUGUAUAUUUGUUUGACCCAGAUAUAUAUGUGUCUGACCCUGAUAUAUAUUUGUCUGACCCUGAUAUAUGUGUCUGACCCAGAUAUAUAUGUGUCUGACCCUGAUAUAUAUGUCUGACAGAUAUAUGUGUCUGACCCAGAUAUAUAUGUGUCUGACCCUGAUAUAUAUGUGUCUGACCCUGAUAUAUAUGUGUCUGACAGAUAUGUAUAUGUGUCUGACCCUUACAUACAGAUACUACAGAUACAUACGUGAUGCAUAUGACUUGUUUGUAUUUACUUGUAGGUAUGAUUCAUUCAUAUUGGUUCGUGCAUGUGCUGUGUCCAUAUUGACACAGCAUACAUUCACCUGAAAACAUAAACCUGAAAAAUAUGACUUCUGGCUCAUUGCAUAUACACAUACUAAAGUAGGGAUAUUUUGAUGAGAUCUUUACGCAAUUGUAGUACACCAUAUCAGGGUGUAAGUCAGGGUGUGAAAAUCUACUUCGAAAUGUGUCUAAGUACGUACAAUAAACUAGGUGUUAUACAUUGACUUGUGUGUUUCUCUGUUUACUCACCAGCUUCUAGAAUGCCGAUCAAACUGUUAUACCGACCUGGUUGUAAUCCUGAGACAUAUCAGAUUAACCCUUCAUGUUCUAUUGUAAGGUGUCAGAAGAGAUUGUCAGCUAUUUUCAUCAGUUUCACGAAACGUUCAAUCGUUAUUGGUGCUAAUGGUUCCGGGACUAACUUUUACACGGAAGCCCACAUGGGAGUACGUGACAGAAUACCUCAAGUGAUCGAGUCACAGUACAAAUAUGGCUGUCAGAUAAUCCAGUGAUUGUUUCUUGUAGAGCCCUGACCUGUUAACGUUAACGGUUAACUGUAUACAAGUAUAUAUUGUAUAAACCGUUUUGCUAAUAAACAUGCUAAAAGGA